Molecule: ribosomal RNA, 460 nt
Filed under: uncultured bacterium
Lineage: Bacteria
Description: partial 16S ribosomal RNA
Rfam family: Bacterial small subunit ribosomal RNA
Source: RNAcentral
CCUACGGGCGGCAGCAGUGAGGAAUAUUGGUCAAUGGACGAGAGUCUGAACCAGCCAAGUAGCGUGAAGGAUGACUGCCCUAUGGGUUGUAAACUUCUUUUAUAUGGGAAUAAAAUGUUCCACGUGUGGGAUUUUGUAUGUACCAUAUGAAUAAGGAUCGGCUAACCCCGUGCCAGCAGCCGCGGUAAUACGGAGGAUCCGAGCGUUAUCCGGAUUUAUUGGGUUUAAAGGGAGCGUAGGUGGAUUGUUAAGUCAGUUGUGAAAGUUUGCGGCUCAACCGUAAAAUUGCAGUUGAAACUGGCAGUCUUGAGUACAGUAGAGGUGGGCGGAAUUCGUGGUGUAGCGGUGAAAUGCUUAGAUAUCACGAAGAACUCCGAUUGCGAAGGCAGUUCACUGGACUGCAACUGACACUGAGGCUCGAAAGUGUGGGUAUCAAACAGGAUUAGAUACCCCAGUAGUC